GACGAACGCUGGCGGCGCGCCUAACACAUGCAAGUCGAACGAGAGAUGAGGAGCUUGCUCUUCAAAUCGAGUGGCGAACGGGUGAGUAACGCGUGAGGAACCUGCCUCAAAGAGGGGGGACAACAGUUGGAAACGACUGCUAAUACCGCAUAAGCCCACGGCUCGGCAUCGAGCAGAGGGAAAAGGAGCAAUCCGCUUUGAGAUGGCCUCGCGUCCGAUUAGCUAGUUGGUGAGGUAACGGCCCACCAAGGCGACGAUCGGUAGCCGGACUGAGAGGUUGAACGGCCACAUUGGGACUGAGACACGGCCCAGACUCCUACGGGAGGCAGCAGUGGGGAAUAUUGCACAAUGGGGGAAACCCUGAUGCAGCGACGCCGCGUGGAGGAAGAAGGUCUUCGGAUUGUAAACUCCUGUUGUUGAGGAAGAUAAUGACGGUACUCAACAAGGAAGUGACGGCUAAC
RNAcentral lists this ribosomal RNA (461 nucleotides) under uncultured bacterium. RNAcentral's name for it is "bacterial SSU rRNA". It matches the Rfam family "Bacterial small subunit ribosomal RNA", at positions 28 to 501 of the family's 1533-position model. The record is from RNAcentral.